GGAAACUCUCAGCACCUUUGGUUGAAGAUGAAUUGAAUACUAAUCACCAGAAAUUCCUGAAAGAACUAGGGGAAAAUACUCGGGGCAGAGAAAAUAGCACUGCAUUGUUUGCUUCUUUGGUUAUCAAGGGUUUGCAAUUUGUUCUAAGGCAGAUUAAGAAACUCAAAGGUGAAAUAAGCAAAGCACGCAUCAAAUUGUUGGAACCAUUAAUCAAGGGACCUGCUGGUUUUGAAUACCUUAGAAGUUCUUUUUCCAACCGCUAUGGUCCUCCUACUGAGGCUCUAAUCUCUCUACCAUUAGUGAAGCAAUGGCUAUCUUCUGUCAUGUUAGUGGCUGUGCAAGAGUGGGAUGACCACCUGAGUUCAUUAUCAUCUCUGAGGUUGAGCAGUGGGGCACAUUCUUCGGAGAAAGCUCCAAUCACACUUAGAGCUGGAGGUAGCUCUCUAAGGAUAUCAGAUCCUCCAACCCUGAAGACUAAUGCCGAACAACCAGAAUGCAAGGGAGAUAAGGUUGAUCUAUUUUUAAGGCUUGGUUUGUUGCAACUUGUCUGUGAAAUUGAGGGGUUGACCGUGGAAACACUACCCGAGACUUUGAAAUUGAAUUUCUCCAGAUUGAGAGCUGUCCAGGCUAUCCUCCAGAAAAUCAUUGUUGUCUGUACUAGCAUAUUGGUUUUGCGGCAGACUCUUCUUGCCGAAUGCCUGGUUAGCAGCCCCUCAGAGAUGGAAGAUAUAUCAUCAAAAUCUAUUACAAAGCUGUUUAAGCUUCUGGAUAACAUGGAGGAUGCUGGUAUUACUGAAGUUGUUGAUACACUGAGCCUUUGCUUAGAAGGUGAUGAGCCAAAGAAGCUUCAAGCGAGGAAGGAGAUCAUGGCGAACGUGUUGGCAAAGAGCUUGCGAGCAGGGGAUGCCAUUUUCACUCGAGUUUCGCGCACUGUUUUUUUGGCAGCAAAAGCAAUUUUACUUUGCGGAAGUGUAGCUGAGGGUGGGCAAUUGGCGGAGAACACCCUGAAACGUGUUGGUGCCAAUCUACUCACUGGAAAGCUGGUUGAGGCUAUGAAAGAUCUGUUGGUUGUGGCAACUGUGUCAGCCAGAGUUCAUGGUUCAUGGUAUGUAGAGGUGCUUAAAAAUAUGAGAGCUUUAUAGCACACACACUUGUUCAAGAAAUUGUCAGCUUGCAUUCUUACAUGAAUGUAUAGGACGGGAAAGUUGAUCUUACUAUAUGCAAUAUAAUGUAUUAUGAAAGAAGUAUUGUUUCUAAAUAUAA
This 1263-nucleotide unclassified non-coding RNA is filed under the name Hevea brasiliensis (rubber tree). The record is from RNAcentral. Lineage: Eukaryota; Viridiplantae; Streptophyta; Magnoliopsida; Malpighiales; Euphorbiaceae.